Quaeritorhiza haematococci is the source of this 73-nucleotide non-coding RNA. The record is from the annotation of a GenBank genome assembly. NCBI's taxonomy places the organism in Eukaryota, Fungi, Chytridiomycota, Chytridiomycetes, Quaeritorhizaceae.
GGUUGUGUAGUGUAGCGGUCUAGCACAUGAGACUCUGAAUCUCAUAACCCGAGUUCAAAUCUCGGCACGACCU